Molecule: non-coding RNA, 999 nt
Organism: Phalacrocorax carbo (great cormorant)
Lineage: Eukaryota; Metazoa; Chordata; Aves; Suliformes; Phalacrocoracidae
Source: RefSeq, a predicted model, not a curated record
UGUUCAAGACAAACUGGCAAUUUAAAGGCCUCUUUGAAAGCAGAAAAUGUGUAAGGCAAGGUUUGUAUGUUUCCACCUGGGUGUUUUUCAAAAGUGAUGCUGGGCAGCAUGUGUCAUUAAUAAUGAUUUACUUCUUAUUUGGUUACUCAGGCUGCAGUUAGAGUCUGUGCAUAGUGCUUUCCAGGACAAAGACAAGAAUAAAGCUGUGAUGCCCAUCCUUCUAAGUUAGAGACCUCAGAUAUUUUCUUUCUCAAACAGGAGAGUGAGUGUCAGUCCUGGGACAGGAGGAGGCUGCAGCUGGGAGUGACUCCUUUGAACAUGGAGAUGUGCUAAGAAGAUCAUUCCUCCACACUCUACAGAAGUUUCGCUGCCCUGGGGAAGUCAGGACCAGAGCAGCUGGACUGGCAGCAGGCAAUGGGAGAUGGCAGCAGAUACGAGCAACCAACAGAAAAGUGCAAGUCUGUGUGUUUGUGAAAUUAGAAUUCCAUCAACUACAUAUGGGCAAAGCAGCAGGUGGAGGAAGGGAAGCUGUAAGAGAGCAAUACAGCAGAUGUGUUUUGGACUAAAUUUGAAGAAAGUCCUCCUGGAACUGGACAUGAAGAGCUCCUGUUACACCGCUGCACUGCCAUCUUCAUGAAAAGCCCCAAGAAUGGUCACACUCUACCUGGCAAGAAGUGAUGAGAAGCAGAUUGCCUGUAGGGCUUCUGCAAAAGGGAACUAACAUGCUCAAGCUGGGAAUCAAGGCAGGAGACAAGACAGCAUUGCUAUCCCCUCUCCUCACAGCCAGGCAGGUUUACCUUGGACAUGCACUCUGUUUUCACAUAGGCCCCACUUCAGCCCAUUGUUGGUCUGCAAACAAAUGCUUGUUGAGGUACUUUUUCUUUCUGGGAAUAAUUAGAAAGAAGGCUAGCUUUGGUCUGUGAAAAUGCAGCAUUUUUCUUUGGACUGACAGACUCACUCAAGACUAUGAAGAGCCAGAAAGCCCUUUGUCUGUGAGGU